Molecule: long non-coding RNA, 1976 nt
Organism: Dermochelys coriacea (leatherback sea turtle)
Lineage: Eukaryota; Metazoa; Chordata; Testudines; Dermochelyidae
Exons: 3
Source: RefSeq, a predicted model, not a curated record
CCCUGUUGCGCUCAGUGCUGUACAAACACAGAGGAAAAAAGACUAUGCCUUAGGGCCUGGUUUUCAGAGAAACAGAGUAUCCUCAACUCCCAUUAAUGUCUAUGAGAGCCGCAGGUGUUAAUCACCUCUGGGAAUCAGACCCCGAGUGCCGGGGUUUAUUUUAAGAGCACCACUGACAUUGAAUUAAUCUAUAGAUCUAUUGACUCAGCCCCUUCACUGACCUUAAAAAAGACACAUUUUCAGGAAAAAAAAUAGAUAUUAUCUAAAACAUAUUCACAUCCAGAGCACGGUAUCUCAACACUCGGUUGUCUUUGUGUGCAUGACACAGUUUAUCUGGGUAUUUAUCUCCAACCAUUGUUGCAUAAAUAGUGAACAUACAAUGGGCCCACGCUGGCUACCUGAUUUAUUUCCACAAGUUAUUGAUGACUUCAUAACUCAUGAGUGUCAGAGCAAAGCCGGGCCCAGAGUGAUUUAUGAAGGGUCAUUAAUAAAGAAUGAAAAUAAAGGAUGUAUCUAGAAUCAGCCCUCUUUAUGCAACACUAAAUCAGACAAAUGCCAAGAUGAAAACUAUCAUCCACAUUCUCCAUGUCAAUGAAUAGUAUGGAGAAAAUGGUCUGGAAGAUAUCAAUGUAGAAGAGAAACCAUAAACAGCGUGGUGACACUGUGAAAAUGACAUUGUGUGGUCUCAGAUUUAUAUUUUCCAGACAAACUGGCCCAGUUCACUGGCAGCAACAAUAUGAAUUCUUAAGCAAGAAAUCACCAUGUCUCUCCUCUGAGCAACUAUGAAUGCCUUUCACUCUUAUACAGAGUUUGGCUGGCUGAUGGGAAUAAGAAAACUGAUAAAAGAUGAACUAAGUGACUGGUACUGGUAUAUGUAAUGCAUAGGGCCUUGGCAAAGGGUCCCUUGUUCUUUGCAAGCAACUCUCAUCCCAGACCUGAUGAACUCAGUACAUCAAAUGUUUUGCUUACAGGGUAUUUGUCCAUAAAGGGUCAAAUGUAAGGUCUCUAUUGAAAGCUUUCAACUUAUUGAUGUUUAUAAUCAUGAUGUGUGGGUGAUAUUUAAGGAAUAAUGUAACUAUAUUCAAGUUUGUGCCCUUAUGGUCUUAAAGUUAAAAGGAAUCACCAAGGCAUGAUGCUAUUCGGUGAUGGUCUAUUCAUGCAGGAUGAAAUUGCCAUCCCUCCCUGGUCAGCCAGUGGCAUACUGCAAGGUUCAGUUGUCCCAUCAUAGAACAGUCAAUAGAAAGCCAUCAAAGACAACUGCAAACAAUCGAAACUACUUGGAGAUAAACAAGGAAUGUUACCACAGAUGGGGAAUUGCCCGGUCUCUGAAUAAAGACAAAUGACUGUUUCAAUAUAACAUGGAAUGGGUCUGGAUCCAUUCACUGAUGAGACAUCUUGUUGAACAGGGGUGUUUUUCAUGAAAUAUUAGAUCCUAUUUCCUGUGAAGCCAGCCAGUUCUGCAACAAUCUGAACUUUGGAAGGAAAACCUACUUUAUUAUCUAGGAAAGCACUGCUGGAAUAAGAAGUAGGACUUUUAUCGUUCAGUAAAGAAUGAUGAAAUUCUGCCGGGCAUAUUGCUAAUGAGUAUGAAGCAUGAUGAGGCACCAAGACUCGAUGUACCCAAUACCGGUACUUAGGAGCCCUAUAAUGGACUUUCCCAAGAUUUCAAAAGUGUCUUAUUCCUAGACCCAAAACAAGGGGAGAGCUAGUGAUGCUUCAUCAGCAGGGAAAGAGAAGUGCCACUUUAUCAUAUCUCUGUGCGUAUACUGACCAGCCAGAAACACUGGAUGAAACUGGGGAACCAAGAAGACAGAGUGUGACCAAGUAAGAGACUUCCAUUCACUGCAAUACUUCAUGGGGUGGCAGCCAGGUAACCAAUGUCAACCUGCUGUUCCAUGUGCAACUACACGAUCGAUUUACACAUUCCAUUUGUAUUUGUUUACAGUUCUGUAUCUUCCAUCCCAGGGAGUGUUCUA